Molecule: unclassified non-coding RNA, 148 nt
Organism: Pongo abelii (Sumatran orangutan)
Lineage: Eukaryota; Metazoa; Chordata; Mammalia; Primates; Hominidae
Rfam family: Metazoan signal recognition particle RNA
About the family: The signal recognition particle (SRP) is a universally conserved ribonucleoprotein.
Source: Ensembl
GCUGGGCAUGGUGGCGCAUGCCUAUAAUCCCAGCUACUUGGGAGGCUGAGGCAGGAGAAUUGCUUGAACCCAGGAGGUGGAGUCUACAGUUAGCCGAGAUGGCGCUACUGCACUUCAGCCUGGGUAAGAGAGUGAGACUCUGUCUCAA